CUACCACUACUGCCAGCACUAGCUGGUGCCAGACCUGGUCCUCCUCCACCACCUCCAGCCUCAGUUGGUGCCAAACCUGGUCCUCCACCACCACCCCCAGGACCAGCUGGUGCCAAACCUGGUCCACCUCCUCCACCACCCCCAGCUGGUGCCAAACCUGGUUCUCGUCCACCACCACCUCCUCCUAUGAGUGGUGUGGCUCCUCCUCGACCUCCGCCCCCGUUUGGUUCAAAGGUGCAACGUCC
Molecule: long non-coding RNA, 245 nt
Filed under: Glycine max (soybean)
Lineage: Eukaryota; Viridiplantae; Streptophyta; Magnoliopsida; Fabales; Fabaceae
Description: long non-coding RNA (GMAX_LNC002650)
Source: RNAcentral